GUGGGGAAUAUUGGGCAAUGGGGGGAACCCUGACCCAGCGACGCCGCGUGGGUGAAGAAAUCCCUCGGGAUGUAAAGCCCUGUUGUAUGGGAAGAGCAGAAGACGGUACCAUACGAGGAAGCCCCGGCAAACUACGUGCCAGCAGCCGCGGUAAUACGUAGGGGGCAAGCGUUGUCCGGAAUUACUGGGCGUAAAGCGCACGCAGGCUGAAUUAUAAGUCGGUAGUCAAAUACGGAGGCUCAACUUCCGGAUAUCUAUCGAUACUGUAAAUCUAGAGUAUGUGAGAGGGAAGCGGAAUUCCCGGUGUAGCAGUGAAAUGCGUAGAUAUCGGGAGGAACACCAGUGGCGAAGGCGGCUUCCUGGCACAAUACUGACGCUCAUGUGCGAAAGCUAGGGCAGCGAACGGGAUUAGAUACCCCUGUAGUCC
RNAcentral lists this ribosomal RNA (427 nucleotides) under uncultured bacterium. RNAcentral describes it as "partial 16S ribosomal RNA". It matches the Rfam family "Bacterial small subunit ribosomal RNA", at positions 354 to 796 of the family's 1533-position model. The record is from RNAcentral.